Molecule: ribosomal RNA, 497 nt
Filed under: uncultured bacterium
Lineage: Bacteria
Description: partial 16S ribosomal RNA
Rfam family: Bacterial small subunit ribosomal RNA
Source: RNAcentral
GAUGAACGCUGGCGGCGUGCCUAAUACAUGCAAGUCGAGCGAACAGAUGAGGAGCUUGCUCCUCUGACGUUAGCGGCGGACGGGUGAGUAACACGUGGAUAACCUACCUAUAAGACUGGGAUAACUUCGGGAAACCGGAGCUAAUACCGGAUAAUAUAUUGAACCGCAUGGUUCAAUAGUGAAAGACGGUUUUGCUGUCACUUAUAGAUGGAUCCGCGCCGCAUUAGCUAGUUGGUAAGGUAACGGCUUACCAAGGCAACGAUGCGUAGCCGACCUGAGAGGGUGAUCGGCCACACUGGAACUGAGACACGGUCCAGACUCCUACGGGAGGCAGCAGUAGGGAAUCUUCCGCAAUGGGCGAAAGCCUGACGGAGCAACGCCGCGUGAGUGAUGAAGGUCUUCGGAUCGUAAAGCUCUGUUAUUAGGGAAGAACAAAUGUGUAAGUAACUAUGCACGUCUUGACGGUACCUGAUCAGAAAGCCACGGCUAACUACGUG